Small nucleolar RNA from Ornithorhynchus anatinus (platypus), 138 nucleotides. The record is from RefSeq and is a predicted model, not a curated record. NCBI's taxonomy places the organism in Eukaryota, Metazoa, Chordata, Mammalia, Monotremata, Ornithorhynchidae.
UCCCUCUCAGGAUCACACCUGGAGAGUUUCUAGUACUCUACCAGUCACGCCUAGGGGAGGGAGAGUCAAGCAGAGGCCUACCCAUUCCGUUCCUAGCUUGGACAGUGACCAGCCAGUGGAAGGCAAUCUGCUACAAGU